This 75-nucleotide transfer RNA is filed under the name Kitasatospora viridis. It matches the Rfam family "tRNA". Rfam says of the family: Transfer RNA (tRNA) molecules are approximately 80 nucleotides in length. Their secondary structure includes four short double-helical elements and three loops (D, anti-codon, and T loops). Lineage: Bacteria; Bacillati; Actinomycetota; Actinomycetes; Kitasatosporales; Streptomycetaceae. The record is from Rfam by way of RNAcentral.
GGGCUCGUAGCGCAGAGGCAGGCGCACCCUGACUGCGAAUCAGGACUCACGCCGGUUCGAAUCCGGCCGGCCCCA